RNAcentral lists this ribosomal RNA (206 nucleotides) under uncultured bacterium. Its description in RNAcentral is "partial 16S ribosomal RNA". It matches the Rfam family "Bacterial small subunit ribosomal RNA", at positions 568 to 774 of the family's 1533-position model. The record is from RNAcentral.
AGCGCAGGUGGGAAAGUAAGUCAGUCUUAAAAGUGCGGGGCUCAACCCCGUGAGGGGAUUGAAACUACUUUUCUUGAGUGCAGGAGAGGAAAGCGGAAUUCCUAGUGUAGCGGUGAAAUGCGUAGAUAUUAGGAGGAACACCAGUGGCGAAGGCGGCUUACUGGACUGUAACUGACGUUGAGGCGCGAAAGUGUGGGGAGCAAACA